GUCUACGGCCAUACCACCCUGAACAUAUAUGAUCUCCUCUGAUCUCAGAAGCUAAGGGGUCAGGCCUGAUUAGUACUUGGAUGGGAGAAAGUACAUUUGAAGGUAAAUU
This 109-nucleotide ribosomal RNA is filed under the name Erinaceus europaeus (western European hedgehog). The record is from RNAcentral. Lineage: Eukaryota; Metazoa; Chordata; Mammalia; Eulipotyphla; Erinaceidae.